Molecule: ribosomal RNA, 1971 nt
Filed under: human gut metagenome
Description: bacterial LSU rRNA
Rfam family: Bacterial large subunit ribosomal RNA
Source: RNAcentral
UUAAGCGACUAAGCGUACACGGUGGAUGCCCUGGCAGUCAGAGGCGAUGAAGGACGUGCUAAUCUGCGAUAAGCGUCGGUAAGGUGAUAUGAACCGUUAUAACCGGCGAUUUCCGAAUGGGGAAACCCAGUGUGUUUCGACACACUAUCAUUAACUGAAUCCAUAGGUUAAUGAGGCGAACCGGGGGAACUGAAACAUCUAAGUACCCCGAGGAAAAGAAAUCAACCGAGAUUCCCCCAGUAGCGGCGAGCGAACGGGGAGCAGCCCAGAGUCUGAAUCAGCUUGUGUGUUAGUGGAACGGUCUGGAAAGUCCGACGGUACAGGGUGAUAGUCCCGUACACCAAAAUGCACAGGUUGUGAACUCGAAGAGUAGGGCGGGACACGUGGUAUCCUGUCUGAAUAUGGGGGGACCAUCCUCCAAGGCUAAAUACUCCUGACUGACCGAUAGUGAACCAGUACCGUGAGGGAAAGGCGAAAAGAACCCCGGCGAGGGGAGUGAAAAAGAACCUGAAACCGUGUACGUACAAGCAGUGGGAGCACCUUCGGGUGUGACUGCGUACCUUUUGUAUAAUGGGUCAGCGACUUAUAUUCUGUAGCAAGGUUAACCGUAUAGGGGAGCCGCAGGGAAACCGAGUCUUAACUGGGCGUUAAGUUGCAGGGUAUAGACCCGAAACCCGGUGAUCUAGCCAUGGGCAGGUUGAAGGUUGGGUAACACUAACUGGAGGACCGAACCGACUAAUGUUGAAAAAUUAGCGGAUGACUUGUGGCUGGGGGUGAAAGGCCAAUCAAACCGGGAGAUAGCUGGUUCUCCCCGAAAGCUAUUUAGGUAGCGCCUCGUGAAUUCAUCUCCGGGGGUAGAGCACUGUUUCGGCAAGGGGGUCAUCCCGACUUACCAACCCGAUGCAAACUGCGAAUACCGGAGAAUGUUAUCACGGGAGACACACGGCGGGUGCUAACGUCCGUCGUGAAGAGGGAAACAACCCAGACCGCCAGCUAAGGUCCCAAAGUCAUGGUUAAGUGGGAAACGAUGUGGGAAGGCCCAGACAGCCAGGAUGUUGGCUUAGAAGCAGCCAUCAUUUAAAGAAAGCGUAAUAGCUCACUGGUCGAGUCGGCCUGCGCGGAAGAUGUAACGGGGCUAAACCAUGCACCGAAGCUGCGGCAGCGACGCUUAUGCGUUGUUGGGUAGGGGAGCGUUCUGUAAGCCUGUGAAGGUGUGCUGUGAGGCAUGCUGGAGGUAUCAGAAGUGCGAAUGCUGACAUAAGUAACGAUAAAGCGGGUGAAAAGCCCGCUCGCCGGAAGACCAAGGGUUCCUGUCCAACGUUAAUCGGGGCAGGGUGAGUCGACCCCUAAGGCGAGGCCGAAAGGCGUAGUCGAUGGGAAACAGGUUAAUAUUCCUGUACUUGGUGUUACUGCGAAGGGGGGACGGAGAAGGCUAUGUUGGCCGGGCGACGGUUGUCCCGGUUUAAGCGUGUAGGCUGGUUUUCCAGGCAAAUCCGGAAAAUCAAGGCUGAGGCGUGAUGACGAGGCACUACGGUGCUGAAGCAACAAAUGCCCUGCUUCCAGGAAAAGCCUCUAAGCAUCAGGUAACAUCAAAUCGUACCCCAAACCGACACAGGUGGUCAGGUAGAGAAUACCAAGGCGCUUGAGAGAACUCGGGUGAAGGAACUAGGCAAAAUGGUGCCGUAACUUCGGGAGAAGGCACGCUGAUAUGUAGGUGAAGUCCCUCGCGGAUGGAGCUGAAAUCAGUCGAAGAUACCAGCUGGCUGCAACUGUUUAUUAAAAACACAGCACUGUGCAAACACGAAAGUGGACGUAUACGGUGUGACGCCUGCCCGGUGCCGGAAGGUUAAUUGAUGGGGUUAUCCGUAAGGAGAAGCUCUUGAUCGAAGCCCCGGUAAACGGCGGCCGUAACUAUAACGGUCCUAAGGUAGCGAAAUUCCUUGUCGGGUAAGUUCCGACCUGCACGAAUGG